Molecule: long non-coding RNA, 1294 nt
Organism: Sarcophilus harrisii (Tasmanian devil)
Lineage: Eukaryota; Metazoa; Chordata; Mammalia; Dasyuromorphia; Dasyuridae
Exons: 3
Source: RefSeq, a predicted model, not a curated record
CAGUAAAAUUUGGAAGAUUUUUUUCUUGAAAAAUGUUCAGAAUUCUUAACUUGAGAACAAGGAAAUUCAUACUAAAGGAAUUUACUUCAAGUUCACCAAGGUUGCUCUUCAGUCAUAAAGAAAGAUACAGUUACAGGAAGGAAUCAUUUCUCCAGAAGAGCACCUCCCCCAGGACUCCCCACCAUCUGCUCUUGUCAAAUCCUCUUAUUGUAGAUUUAUGAAAUCUCCACUGAGACAACCCUUUCAGGAUGGAAUAGAUCAUUCUAAAGUUGGGAGAAUGUAGGUGCAAUCUAGUACUGAGACUGAUGGAUGGACAAAUGAUGUUUUGGAGUCCUUCCAAGACCCAAAGUACAAGUGCAGAAGAUGGUUGUCCCAUACUUAGGAACAUUGCUUCCAUGGAUGGAAAUGGGCAAACUGCUAAAUCAAAGCUCAGACUUUCCUCACAAAAAGAACUACUGCAGAUGGGAGGAUUUACCCAGCGUGGAAGUGACUCCUACAUUGCUAGUAGGAAACUUUGUGAAGUCAUGUGAAAUUAUAUCCAAAUGCUGGAGAAAACUCAGUGGCUGCCUUAAUGUUGCUCCAAACACUAACCUUUUGACAUUGGGACUGUGUGCAUGGAAAGGCAUGGUCUCUGACCUCCAGGAGUUCACCCUCUCAAAGACACAAGCCAUAUGCGUGUGUCUGGAAAACAUGUUUAAUCGUAUGUUGUUUCCCCUCCCUCUUUCCUCUAGCAUCAAUUGAGAUCAACCAGAAUGCAAUCAUCUGGUGAAAAAAAAAUCAGCUCUUUUAUGAGACUAGGACACAUUCUGAGAAUCUCCUCCCUACAAUGUGAAUCUCCUGCUGUUGAUUUGUGGUUGACUCGUCCCCACAGUCAGGCAGGAGGUGAGAGGAGGACCUGCUGGUUUCCACAUGGGACUCAGCCACCACUUCCACCAUUGGAGACUGGCCAAUAGAACCCAGGGGUGGCCCCUACUGCUAUAGGAGCUGCAGAGCAGCUGGCCCAUUCAGACAGAGUAAUGACACUCAGUGUUUUCUGCCUCCCCCCUCUACUCCUGGGUUGUCACCUCUGUGUUUCCAUCUCUGUCUCUCUCUUGUUCCUAAGUGAUGGAUGGAUGGAGAUUCAAAUUUGGGAGUAUGUUGUUUAGAACAACAUAUAAUUUCUGUGUCUAAAAUAAUAUGGUUCUAUAUAUUAAAUCUCUCCCCACUAGCCAAAGACCUCCACUUUCUAUACAUUCUGCAGUGUUUCAACUAAAACCAAUACUAUUAAAGCAAAAUAAAUAUAGGCUGGAUUCAA